UUUCCGUAGGUGAACCUGCGGAAGGAUCAUUAACUACAAAUCUUUGAAGCAAUUCACAUUAGCCCCGUGCACUCGUGCACGUGACAUUUUAUCGUUUGCCAUGUUUAUACUUUGAGAAGGAGAAACUUUUAACAAUGGAUCUCUAGGCUCUU
This 152-nucleotide unclassified non-coding RNA is filed under the name soil metagenome. RNAcentral describes it as "partial contains small subunit ribosomal RNA, internal transcribed spacer 1, and 5.8S ribosomal RNA". The record is from RNAcentral.